This 73-nucleotide transfer RNA is filed under the name Danionella translucida. It matches the Rfam family "tRNA". Rfam says of the family: Transfer RNA (tRNA) molecules are approximately 80 nucleotides in length. Their secondary structure includes four short double-helical elements and three loops (D, anti-codon, and T loops). Further hydrogen bonds mediate the characteristic L-shaped molecular structure. tRNAs have two regions of fundamental functional importance: the anti-codon, which is responsible for specific mRNA codon recognition, and the 3' end, to which the tRNAs corresponding amino acid is attached (by aminoacyl-tRNA synthetases). tRNAs cope with the degeneracy of the genetic code in two manners: having more than one tRNA (with a specific anti-codon) for a particular amino acid; and 'wobble' base-pairing, i.e. permitting non-standard base-pairing at the 3rd anti-codon position. The record is from Rfam by way of RNAcentral. Lineage: Eukaryota; Metazoa; Chordata; Actinopteri; Cypriniformes; Danionidae. RNAcentral also lists the same sequence under 1 other name.
GACCUUGUGGCCUAACAGAUAAGGUGUCUGACUUCGGAUCAGAAGAUUGCAGGUUCGAGUCCUGCCAGGGUUG